This 443-nucleotide ribosomal RNA is filed under the name uncultured bacterium. RNAcentral describes it as "SSU rRNA". It matches the Rfam family "Bacterial small subunit ribosomal RNA", at positions 26 to 518 of the family's 1533-position model. The record is from RNAcentral.
AGAACGAACGCUGGCGGCAGGCUUAACACAUGCAAGUCGAACGCCCCGCAAGGGGAGUGGCAGACGGGUGAGUAACACGUGGGAACGUCCCCCUCGGUUCGGAAUAACUCAGGGAAACUUGAGCUAAUACCGGAUACGUCCGAGAGGAGAAAGAUUUAUCGCCGAGGGAUCGGCCCGCGUCUGAUUAGCUAGUUGGUAGGGUAACGGCCUACCAAGGCGACGAUCAGUAGCUGGUCUGAGAGGAUGACCAGCCACACUGGGACUGAGACACGGCCCAGACUCCUACGGGAGGCAGCAGUGGGGAAUCUUGGACAAUGGGCGCAAGCCUGAUCCAGCCAUGCCGCGUGAGUGAUGAAGGCCUUAGGGUUGUAAAGCUCUUUCGACGGGACGAUAAUGACGGUACCCGUAGAAGAAGCCCCGGCUAACUUCGUGCCAGCAGCCGC